AACGCACCUUGCGCUCCUUGGUAUUCCGAGGAGCAUGCCUGUUUGAGUGUCAUGGUAUUCUCAACCCUCCUGUGAUUUCUUUUUAAAGAUUGCAGCUGGGCUUGGACUUGGAGGUUUAUUGCUGGCAUCCUUUGUUGGAUGUGGGCUCCUCUGAAAAGCAUUAGCUGGAAUAUUGCCGAGCAUGAUUCAAUGUGAUAAUUGUCUACGUUGCUUCAACUUGGUGUUAAUUCUGUUCUAGCUUCUAAACGUCCUCUGGACAAUAUCUGAACAUCUGACCUCAAAUCAGGUAGGACUACCCACUGAACUUAA
Molecule: unclassified non-coding RNA, 309 nt
Filed under: uncultured Junghuhnia
Lineage: Eukaryota; Fungi; Basidiomycota; Agaricomycetes; Polyporales; Steccherinaceae
Description: sequence contains ITS2
Rfam family: 5.8S ribosomal RNA (bases 1-52)
Source: RNAcentral